ACGUUGGGAACUAGUUGUGGGGACCAUUCCACGGUUUCCGUGACGCAGCUAACGCAUUAAGUUCCCCGCCUGGGGAGUACGGCCGCAAGGCUAAAACUCAAAGGAAUUGACGGGGACCCGCACAAGCGGCGGAGCAUGCGGAUUAAUUCGAUGCAACGCGAAGAACCUUACCAAGGCUUGACAUACACCAGAACACCGUAGAAAUACGGGACUCUUUGGACACUGGUGAACAGGUGGUGCAUGGUUGUCGUCAGCUCGUGUCGUGAGAUGUUGGGUUAAGUCCCGCAACGAGCGCAACCCUCGUUCUAUGUUGCCAGCACGUAAUGGUGGGAACUCAUGGGAUACUGCCGGGGUCAACUCGGAGGAAGGUGGGGAUGACGUCAAAUCAUCAUGCCCCUUAUGUCUUGGGCUUCACGCAUGCUACAAUGGCCGGUACAAAGGGCUGCAAUACCGUGAGGUGGAGCGAAUCCCAAAAAGCCGGUCCCAGUUCGGAUUGAGGUCUGCAACUCGACCUCAUGAAGUCGGAGUCGCUAGUAAUCGCAGAUCAGCAACGCUGCGGUGAAUACGUUCCCGGGUCUUGUACACACCGCCCGUCAAGUCAUGAAAGUCGGUAACACCUGAAGCC
Molecule: ribosomal RNA, 625 nt
Filed under: Microbacterium sp.
Lineage: Bacteria; Bacillati; Actinomycetota; Actinomycetes; Micrococcales; Microbacteriaceae
Description: bacterial SSU rRNA
Rfam family: Bacterial small subunit ribosomal RNA
Source: RNAcentral